AGAGUUUGAUCAUGGCUCAGGACGAACGCUGGCGGCGUGCCUAACACAUGCAAGUCGAGCGGGGAUUUGGGAAGCUUACUUCCUGGAUUCUAGCGGCGGACGGGUGAGUAACGCGUGAGCAACCUGCCUUUCACAGGGGGAUAACGCAUCGAAAGAUGUGCUAAUACCGCGUAAGACCACGGUGUCGCAUGACACAGGGGUCAAAGGAGCAAUCCGGUGAGAGAUGGGCUCGCGUCCGAUUAGCUAGUUGGUGAGAUAACAGCCCACUAAGGCGACGAUCGGUAGCCGACCUGAGAGGGUGAUCGGCCACAUUGGAACUGAGAGACGGUCCAGACUCCUACGGGAGGCAGCAGUGGGGAAUAUUGGGCAAUGGGUGAAAGCCUGACCCAGCAACGCCGCGUGAGGGAAGAAGGGUUUCGGCUCGUAAACCUCUGUCCUAUGGGACGAAGGAAGUGACGGUAUCAUAGGAGGAAGCCCCGGCUAACUACGUGCCAGCAGCCGCGGUAAUACGUAGGGGGCGAGCGUUGUCCGGAAUGAUUGGGCGUAAAGGGCGCGUAGGCGGCCCGUUAAGUCUGGAGUGAAAGUCCUGCUUUCAAGGUGGGAAUUGCUUUGGAUACUGAUGGGCUGGAGUGCAGGAGAGGAAAGCGGAAUUACCGGUGUAGCGGUGAAAUGCGUAGAGAUCGGUAGGAACACCAGUGGCGAAGGCGGCUUUCUGGACUGAAACUGACGCUGAGGCGCGAAAGCGUGGGGAGCAAACGGGAUUAGAUACCCUGGUAGUCCACGCGGUAAAUGAUGAAUGCUAGGUGUAGGAGGUAUCGACCCCUUC
RNAcentral lists this ribosomal RNA (826 nucleotides) under uncultured bacterium. RNAcentral's name for it is "bacterial SSU rRNA". It matches the Rfam family "Bacterial small subunit ribosomal RNA", at positions 8 to 841 of the family's 1533-position model. The record is from RNAcentral.